AUAUUUUCACAGUUUACAGCUUCAGGAAGAGGCUUGAGCAUUGGUGGAAGAGGCUGAGACACCCAGGCCGGUCCUUCUCCACCCCACGGCGAUGCAAUCAGGAGAAAUGGUGGUUCAGUAUCCUGAUCUUUGCUGAACCACUAUUUCAUUGUUAGUCCUACACUAACAUACGUGGACGUACUCAAGAAUGACGCAGGAGCACAAAGUACCAAUGAAGUGGCCAGAUGUAUGGAGAACCGGGAUGACUGGAAGCGACGAUGGAGGGCUCGUAUGAAGACGACCUAGACAGAUCCUGACCUAUGCACACUGCGGCAUGCGAACCGGGAAUCAAACUGCAAAUAUCCUGAUAAGUGCAAUACCCUCACAUAUCAAACUUUAGAAUGAUUCUGACUAUUUAUUUAACUUAAGCCUAAAAUCUAGUUUGUUGCAUCUGUGAACUUAUAUAUCGACAAUAAAGAAACAUGUUGAAAUA
Molecule: long non-coding RNA, 472 nt
Organism: Notothenia coriiceps (black rockcod)
Lineage: Eukaryota; Metazoa; Chordata; Actinopteri; Perciformes; Nototheniidae
Exons: 2
Source: RefSeq, a predicted model, not a curated record